UCGGGAAUUUUGGGCAAUGGGCGAAAGCCUGACCCAGCAACGCCGCGUGAAGGAUGAAGUAUUUCGGUAUGUAAACUUCGAAAGAAUAGGAAGAAUAAAUGACGGUACUAUUUAUAAGGUCCGGCUAACUACGUGCCAGCAGCCGCGGUAAUACGUAGGGACCAAGCGUUGUUCGGAUUUACUGGGCGUAAAGGGCGCGUAGGCGGCAAUUCAAGUCAUCUGUGAAAUCUCCGGGCUUAACUCGGAACGGUCAGAUGAUACUGCUUUGCUAGAGUGCAGAAGGGGCAAUCGGAAUUCUUGGUGUAGCGGUGAAAUGCGUAGAUAUCAAGAGGAACACCUGAGGUGAAGACGGGUUGCUGGGCUGGACACUGACGCUGAGGCGCGAAAGCCAGGGGAGCAAA
RNAcentral lists this ribosomal RNA (401 nucleotides) under uncultured bacterium. RNAcentral's name for it is "bacterial SSU rRNA". It matches the Rfam family "Bacterial small subunit ribosomal RNA", at positions 355 to 772 of the family's 1533-position model. The record is from RNAcentral.